This is a small nucleolar RNA of Bubalus bubalis (water buffalo), 91 nucleotides long. RefSeq annotates it as small nucleolar RNA SNORD116. The record is from RefSeq and is a predicted model, not a curated record. The transcript has a single exon. NCBI's taxonomy places the organism in Eukaryota, Metazoa, Chordata, Mammalia, Artiodactyla, Bovidae.
GGAUCAAUGAUGACAACUUUCAUAUGCAUUCCUUGGAAAAUCUGAACAAAAUGAGUGAGAACUCACUACCAUCUCAUCGACACUGAGCUCU